CAGCAGCCACGGUAAUACGAAGGGGGCAAGCGUUAUCCGGAAUUACUGGGUGUAAAGGGAGCGUAGACGGUUAAACAAGUCUGAAGUGAAGUGCCGGGGCUCAACCCCGGAGCUGCUUUGGGAACUGUAGAACUGGAGUGUCGGAGGGGUAAGCGGAAUUCCCAGUGUAGCGGUGAAAUGCGUAGAUAUUGGGAGGAACACCAGUGGCGAAGGCGGCUUUCUGGACUGCAACUGACGCUGAGGCUCGAAAGCCAGGGGAGCGAACGGGAUUAGAUACCCCUGUAGUCCCUGUCUCUUAUAC
Molecule: ribosomal RNA, 301 nt
Filed under: uncultured bacterium
Lineage: Bacteria
Description: partial 16S ribosomal RNA
Rfam family: Bacterial small subunit ribosomal RNA
Source: RNAcentral